GAAUACGUUCCUUGAUUAUCUGUUGAUUUCUUUUGUUUGUUUUUGUUUGUUUGUUUGUUUGUUUUCUGCAGUCCUUUUAGUGGGAGCAGGGAGAUGUUUUCAGCAAUACAACUUUCUGAGACCUCAGCUCUGUGCAGUUGUUGUUUGUGUGGUUCAGCUGUUUGGGAUCUUUCCUUUGUACGUGUUUUCCUGAAUGGCAGGGCUAUCUUGAAGCAUCUCUUUGCCAGUGACCAAGGCUCCGUCUGUAUUUGGAGGCAUGGGCUGGUCUAUAAAGAAGGCAGCAGCCUUUCAGGAAGCAGUAGCUUUUCAUUGACUUCCCUGUGGAGUCACAGAAGGCAAACAAAUACCGACGCACAGGUCUCCCCAUGCAGGAGUGAGGCCAUGGGGACGGACGGGAAGAUGGCUGUGCCUGGGCCAGAGCUGUCCA
Molecule: long non-coding RNA, 427 nt
Organism: Gallus gallus (chicken)
Lineage: Eukaryota; Metazoa; Chordata; Aves; Galliformes; Phasianidae
Source: Ensembl